RNAcentral lists this ribosomal RNA (253 nucleotides) under uncultured prokaryote. RNAcentral's name for it is "partial 16S ribosomal RNA". It matches the Rfam family "Bacterial small subunit ribosomal RNA", at positions 524 to 776 of the family's 1533-position model. The record is from RNAcentral.
UACGGAGGGUGCAAGCGUUGCUCGGAAUUAUUGGGCGUAAAGGGUAGGUAGGUGGUCUCAUUUGUCUGAGGUGAAAGCCUUGAGCUUAACUCAAGAAGUGCCUCGGAAACGGUGAGACUCGAGUACUGGAGAGGUGAGUGGAAUUCCCGGUGUAGCGGUGAAAUGCGUAGAGAUCGGGAGGAACACCAGAGGCGAAGGCGGCUCACUGGACAGUAACUGACACUCAACUACGAAAGCGUGGGUAGCAAACAGG